GAUGAACGCUGGCGGCGUGCCUAAUACAUGCAAGUCGAACGAACAGACGAGUAGCUUGCUCCUCUGACGUUAGCGGCGGACGGGUGAGUCACACGUGGAUUACCUACCUAUAAGACUGGGAUAACUGCGGGAAACGGGAGCUAAUCCCGUAUAAUCUAUUGAACCGCAUGGUUCAAUAGUGAAAGACGGUUUUGCUGUCGCUGAUGGAUUGUUCCGCGGCGCAUUAGCUAGUUGGUGAGGUAACGGCUUACCAAGGCACCGCCGGGUAGCCGGCAUGAGAGGGUGGACGGCCACAUUGGGACUGAGAUACGGCCCAGACUGCUACGGGAGGCAGCAGUGGGGAAUAUGGCACAAUGGGGGCAAGCCUGAUGCAGCGACGCCGCGUGGGGGAUGACGGCCUUCGGGUUGUAAACUCCUUUCGCUAGGGACGAAGCGGAAGUGACGGUACCUGGAGAAGAAGCACCGGCUAACUACGUG
This 477-nucleotide ribosomal RNA is filed under the name uncultured bacterium. RNAcentral describes it as "partial 16S ribosomal RNA". It matches the Rfam family "Bacterial small subunit ribosomal RNA", at positions 28 to 507 of the family's 1533-position model. The record is from RNAcentral.